GAUGAACGCUAGCGGCAGGCUUAACACAUGCAAGUCGAGGGGCAACACGGGUAGCAAUACCUGGUGGCGACCGGCGCAAGGGUGCGUAACGCGUGAGCAACAUGCCCUAUACAGGGGGAUAAUCCAGGGAAACUUGGUCUAAUAUCCCAUAGUAUUUAGAGGUGGCAUCACCACUAAAUUAAAGCUUCGGUGGUAUAGGAUUGGCUCGCGUGACAUUAGCUUGAUGGUGGGGUAACGGCUCACCAUGGCGAUGAUGUCUAGGGGUUCUGAGAGGAAGACCCCCCAACUGGGACUGAGACACGGCCCAGACUCCUACGGGAGGCAGCAGUGAGGAAUAUUGGACAAUGGAUGGAAAUCUGAUCCAGCCAUGCCGCGUGCAGGAAGACGGCCCUAUGGGUUGUAAAACUGCUUUUAUAUGGGAGCAAUAAGGUUUACGCGUAGACCGAUGAGAGUACCAUAUGAAUAAGCAUCGGCUAACUCCGUG
RNAcentral lists this ribosomal RNA (484 nucleotides) under uncultured bacterium. RNAcentral's name for it is "bacterial SSU rRNA". It matches the Rfam family "Bacterial small subunit ribosomal RNA", at positions 28 to 507 of the family's 1533-position model. The record is from RNAcentral.